This 252-nucleotide ribosomal RNA is filed under the name uncultured bacterium. RNAcentral describes it as "partial 16S ribosomal RNA". It matches the Rfam family "Bacterial small subunit ribosomal RNA", at positions 524 to 776 of the family's 1533-position model. The record is from RNAcentral.
UACGUAGGUGGCAAGCGUUGUCCGGAUUUACUGGGUUUAAAGGGUGCGUAGGCGGGAUGCCAAGUCAGCGGUAAAAAUGCGGUGCUCAACGCCGUCGAGCCGUUGAAACUGGCGUUCUUGAGUGGGCGAGAAGUAUGCGGAGUGCGUGGUGUAGCGGUGAAAUGCAUAGAUAUCACGCAGAACUCCGAUUGCGAAGGCAGCAUACCGGCGCCCUACUGACGCUGAGGCACGAAAGCGUGGGUAUCGAACAGG